This 229-nucleotide long non-coding RNA is filed under the name Nicotiana benthamiana. Its description in RNAcentral is "long non-coding RNA (NBEN_LNC005790)". The record is from RNAcentral. Lineage: Eukaryota; Viridiplantae; Streptophyta; Magnoliopsida; Solanales; Solanaceae.
AGUGCAUUAAUUACGUCGUUAGUCUUUUCCCUAUCUUUUCAGUCUUAUUCCAUAAGUGUUUAGCCGAAGUUGGAAAGCCAAUCAUCACAUCACUUCAUCUGACACCCCUUCAUUUUCUGUACUCAACCAUCAAAUCUUCUCUCUUUAAGUUAAUCCUUUAUCGUAUCUUUCAUCUCCACCAUAUCCCUCAACCUCUACUAACCCCUUUUCAACCUUUUUCAUCUCUCUC